CUCUAGGAUCUUCUAAGAUCCACAAAAUCCUCCUAAUAUCUCUAACU
Non-coding RNA from Picea glauca (white spruce), 47 nucleotides. NCBI's taxonomy places the organism in Eukaryota, Viridiplantae, Streptophyta, Pinopsida, Pinales, Pinaceae. The record is from Rfam.